This 448-nucleotide ribosomal RNA is filed under the name uncultured bacterium. RNAcentral describes it as "partial 16S ribosomal RNA". It matches the Rfam family "Bacterial small subunit ribosomal RNA", at positions 330 to 794 of the family's 1533-position model. The record is from RNAcentral.
CCCAGACUCCUACGGGAGGCAGCAGUGGGGGAUAUUGCACAAUGGGGGGAACCCUGAUGCAGCGACGCCGCGUGGGUGAAGGAGCGUUUCGGCGCGUAAAGCCCUAUCGGCAGGGAAGAAGGAGGACGGUACCUGACUAAGAAGCCCCGGCUAACUACGUGCCAGCAGCCGCGGUAAUACGUAGGGGGCAAGCGUUAUCCGGAUUUACUGGGUGUAAAGGGGGCGCAGACGGCAGCGCAAGCCAGGAGUGAAAGCCCGGGGCCCAACCCCGGGACUGCUCUUGGAACUGCGCGGCUGGAGUGCAGGAGGGGCAGGCGGAAUUCCUGGUGUAGCGGUGAAAUGCGUAGAUAUCAGGAGGAACACCGGUGGCGAAGGCGGCCUGCUGGACUGCGACUGACGUUGAGGCCCGAAAGCGUGGGGAGCAAACAGGAUUAGAUACCCGAGUAUC